Molecule: ribosomal RNA, 253 nt
Filed under: uncultured bacterium
Lineage: Bacteria
Description: partial 16S ribosomal RNA
Rfam family: Bacterial small subunit ribosomal RNA
Source: RNAcentral
UACAGAGGUCCCGAGCGUUGUUCGGAUUCACUGGGCGUAAAGGGUGCGUAGGUGGUGACGUAAGUCGGAUGUGAAAUCUCGGAGCUUAACUCCGAAACGGCAUUGGAAACUGCGUUGCUAGAGGGUUGGAGGGGGGACUGGAAUGCUUGGUGUAGCAGUGAAAUGCGUAGAUAUCAAGCGGAACACCAGUGGCGAAGGCGAGUCCCUGGACAACACCUGACACUGAGGCACGAAAGCUAGGGGAGCAAACAGG